Molecule: unclassified non-coding RNA, 248 nt
Filed under: Hevea brasiliensis (rubber tree)
Lineage: Eukaryota; Viridiplantae; Streptophyta; Magnoliopsida; Malpighiales; Euphorbiaceae
Source: RNAcentral
GGAGAACCAAAAUGGUGAUGGUGUUACUGCUGUUGCAAGUCAUAGUAUUAUGGAGAACCAAGAUGGUGCCGGUGUAGGUGCAAAUCUUAUUACUGUGGAGAACCAAGAACAAGAUUAAUAAAUUAGAGGGUUUUAAAUUUUCAUUGUAGUUUUGCUUGCUUAUGAAGGUUAAUACUUACCUAGUUGCUUUAUUUGGAUUUAAUUGUUCUUAAGUAGUAUUAAUUUUUAGUUUAGUUUAUGUGAUAUAU